AUGACACCUUCAAAUUUCAUUGGCCCAAAUUGACUUUUUUUCUUCUUUCUUUCAGAGUCACUAAGAUCAGGAGAAUAUGGUGACCAAUCAAACUUACAUAGGUUCUGGCAAAACAGUUGAUAAAGUCUCAUGAUGACGCUCAUAGAAUUGAGCUAGACAAUAGUACAAUCACAUAGAUCUCAAAAUGGAUUUAAGGUCCCAGGUCCCAGCUUUCUUAGAAGGUGAAGGUCUUGAAGAAUAUCCCCAGGAAGAAGGAUCCAACUAGGAGGAGACUCCUGAGACCUUCCACUACAGCUUGAAGGCGAUACUUGAUGGGCAGGAGCAAACCCUACAAGAAACUGGUGGCAGAGUGAUUCCUGCCAGGCCUUUGCCAUGGAGCACGUGGCCCUGCUGCCUGGGGAGAGAGCAAGCCCUAGAACAGAGAUUGAGGUCACCACCAUCAUGGAAGGUGCCCAUCAGAAGGUUCCCUUUGGAAGUUUUCCUGGGCUCCCGUUUAAGUAUCUCCCUGCUCCGAUUCCCCAAGGCCCAUCACACUGUCAAGUUUCCUAAAUGGGACAUAAGGACCCAGCAGAAUUUGGCCUCCUUGUCCCUGAAGGAAAAGUGAAGAUUUUGAAGAAUGAUCUGUGCUUGUGGGGAUUCAUCAUGGAUUUGCCUCAGUCCUGGAUCCCUUGUGCAGACUGUGCAAGUGGGACAUGAGCCGGAUGCAGCACGAUUCCUUUAGCGAAGACACUGGAUUUGAAGUCAAGAACUUGAACAUGGUGCAGAGCAUUUGCCUGAGAAGAGGCUCCCAAAUGACCAUUGCGACUUGAACGAAGCCAGGGAAUAUGAUAGGAAUUUGGAGAAAGAGAAGAGAGCCCAUGCAGAGAAGGGACCAUUCCCAGAACGACUUUGAGUAAUGGGAAUGUGCCUCAGUGUAUGGCAAUUGGGAAGAGCUUCAGCCUUGGGCCAGUCUUUGUUGGAACUAUGGAGAAAAGUCUGGAUAAAUAUGACAAGUAGAAAGAGCUUGAGAGGUUUUCAAACCUAAUUAUAUAUAAUAUAUUCUCUUUAGAGAAGAACUUUUCUAAGUAUAGCAAAGGCAAGAAACCUUUCGAAGAUCACUUAGAUUUAUUUAAGUUUCAUAGAAUAGGUGCUAGAAAAAAAUCUACAUAAACAGAGUGAAUGUGGAAAAGUAUUUAGAAGAUCAGAUCUUAUUGAAAAUCAGAGAAUUCCCAUAGGAGACAGUCAUUAUAAAUAUAAUAAAUAUGGGAAAGGCUGUUUCCACAAAGGAAACUUGAAUGAACUUAUCAUGCUAAACUGAAACUCUUUAAAUAUGAUGAAUAUGGGAAAGGCAGAGAAACCUUUUCUCUGCAAUUAUUAUGGAAAAGACUUCAGCCAGAGGGGACACUUCAUUGCUAAUCUGUUUAAUUGCUAAUCUCAGAAAGAAUCCAUUAGCAGUUAGUAUUCAGUGAAUCAUUCAAUAAUGGACUCAAGUGGCAGGAAUUUUGUGCCCCAAGCUAUCAGAGCUCUGGAGUUUUCUGGAGGUUUCCCCAUCUGUUACCUUAAACAAAUUUUCUUUUUUAGUUCUGGGAGAGAACAAGACAAUUCUCAAAAUUCAGGUAGAACAGAAUUUAUCACAGCCAAUUAACUUUCCAUUUUAACAUAUAUAGCAAUUUAAAAGUUAUUUUAAAAUUAACCAGUACUUUAUUUUGUGGGAUUCCCUAAAAUCUACUGAAAUGUUUCAUUCAAGCCAAAUUGCCUUUUGAUUGUUUUUCCAAUGCCAAAUCUCUUCUCUUUUGUAAAUCAAGGAAGUGUUAAAUGCCAGGUUUUUUUUUCUGUUUCCAUGUUUUUUGCUUCAAAUGCGUUUUUAUUUUGAGGUUCCUCCUGGUAUGGUUGUAUAAGCCUGUGUUCUGAUAACAAAGUUAUAGGUUCCUUGCUUACAGGAGUUUUUAAAGUGGUAGUGAACUGCUUUUCCAUUUUCCCUAAAGUUUCCAUUCUCUAAUCCCUUUUAGUCUAUGCUCUUGUUAUUUCUAUGUGCUUAAACUUUCUCACUUUUCUAUAUGUAUAUCCCUU
Molecule: long non-coding RNA, 2049 nt
Organism: Sarcophilus harrisii (Tasmanian devil)
Lineage: Eukaryota; Metazoa; Chordata; Mammalia; Dasyuromorphia; Dasyuridae
Source: Ensembl